RNAcentral lists this ribosomal RNA (620 nucleotides) under uncultured bacterium. RNAcentral's name for it is "bacterial SSU rRNA". It matches the Rfam family "Bacterial small subunit ribosomal RNA", at positions 28 to 646 of the family's 1533-position model. The record is from RNAcentral.
GAUGAACGCUGGCGGCGUGCUUAACACAUGCAAGUCGAGCGAAGCGCUUUGCUUUGAAUUUUUCGGAAUGAGAAGCUUAGUGACUGAGCGGCGGACGGGUGAGUAACGCGUGGGCAACCUGCCUCAUACAGGGGGAUAACAGUUAGAAAUGACUGCUAAUACCGUAUAAGACCACAGUGACGCAUGUCACGGUGGUAAAAACUCCGGUGGUAUGAGAUGGGCCCGCGUCUGAUUAGCUAGUUGGUGGGGUAAUGGCCCACCAAGGCAACAAUCAGUAGCCGACCUGAGAGGGUGACCGGCCACAUUGGGACUGAGACACGGCCCAAACUCCUACGGGAGGCAGCAGUGGGGAAUAUUGCACAAUGGGGGAAACCCUGAUGCAGCGACGCCGCGUGAAGGAUGAAGUAUUUCGGUAUGUAAACUUCUAUCAGCAGGGAAGAAAAUGACGGUACCUGACUAAGAAGCCCCGGCUAACUACGUGCCAGCAGCCGCGGUAAUACGUAGGGGGCAAGCGUUAUCCGGAUUUACUGGGUGUAAAGGGAGCGUAGACGGCUAUGCAAGUCUGAUGUGAAAACCCGGGGCUCAACCCCGGGACUGCAUUGGAAACUGUGUAGCUAGAG